CUCGUGGUUCGGAAAAGAGAAUUCUGUCAUGGCGGCCUGACAUUUGUGCAGGAUACAUCUUAAGGCUUUAGGCAUGGGUUGUCUCACUCUGUUUCACCUACACUACAGUCUACAUAGCUUGCAUAGCUACACAGCUACACAGCUACAUUAUGUUCGUAACUACUUUGUACAUAUAUAUGAAACCUUUGGAGGUCUGUACCAGAUCAUUGGAAUAAAGUUUGGACAUUGGU
Molecule: long non-coding RNA, 230 nt
Organism: Pecten maximus
Lineage: Eukaryota; Metazoa; Mollusca; Bivalvia; Pectinida; Pectinidae
Exons: 2
Source: RefSeq, a predicted model, not a curated record